RNAcentral lists this ribosomal RNA (386 nucleotides) under Monoblepharidales sp. Its description in RNAcentral is "partial small subunit ribosomal RNA". It matches the Rfam family "Eukaryotic small subunit ribosomal RNA", at positions 582 to 975 of the family's 1831-position model. Lineage: Eukaryota; Fungi; Monoblepharomycota; Monoblepharidomycetes; Monoblepharidales. The record is from RNAcentral.
AUUCCAGCUCCAAUAGCGUAUAUUAAAGUUGUUGCAGCUAAAAAGCUCGUAGUUGAAUUUUGGGUUCGGUUGGCUGGUCUGCCUUUGGUUUGUACUGGCCGACUGAACCUUUCCUUCUGGCGAACUCUUGUGUCCUUAACUGGGUGCGAUUGGGAACCAGGACUUUUACUUUGAAAAAAUUAGAGUGUUUAAAGCAAGCUCACGCUUGAAUACAUUAGCAUGGAAUAAUAAAAUAGGACUUUGGUUUUAUUUUGUUGGUUUCUAAGACCGAAGUAAUGGUUAAUAGGGACAGUUGGGGGCAUUGGUAUUUAGUCGUCAGAGGUGAAAUUCUUGGAUUGACUAAAGACUAACUUCUGCGAAAGCAUUUGCCAAGGAUGUUUUCAUUA